GAUGAACGCUAGCGGCAGGCCUAACACAUGCAAGUCGAGGGGCAUCGCGGUGCAGCAAUGCACUGGCAGCGACCGGCGUACGGGUGCGUAACGCGUAUGCAACCUGCCCCGCACCGGGGGAUAGCCCGCCGAAAGGCGGAUUAAUACCCCAUGGACCCCUUAGCCCCGCAUGGGGCGGAGGGUAAAGCUCCGGCGGGAAUGGAUGGGCAUGCGUGCCAUUAGCUGGUUGGUAAGGUAACGGCUUACCAAGGCUACGAUGGCUAGGGGGUCUGGGAGGAUGAUCCCCCACACUGGUACUGAGACACGGACCAGACUCCUACGGGAGGCAGCAGUGAGGAAUAUUGGUCAAUGGGCGGAAGCCUGAACCAGCCAUGCCGCGUGCAGGACGACGGCCCUACGGGUUGUAAACUGCUUUUCCGGGGGAAGAAUAACCCCCCUGCGGGGGGGAUGCCGGUACCCCGGGAAUAAGGAUCGGCUAACUCCGUG
Molecule: ribosomal RNA, 486 nt
Filed under: uncultured bacterium
Lineage: Bacteria
Description: bacterial SSU rRNA
Rfam family: Bacterial small subunit ribosomal RNA
Source: RNAcentral